This is a long non-coding RNA of Spinacia oleracea (spinach), 508 nucleotides long. RefSeq lists it as uncharacterized. The transcript has 2 exons. The record is from RefSeq and is a predicted model, not a curated record. Lineage: Eukaryota; Viridiplantae; Streptophyta; Magnoliopsida; Caryophyllales; Amaranthaceae.
CUGCAUAAGACACAAAACAACUCAACCUAACCCUACUCCUCUCUUUCAUUUCAGCCGUUUUCUUUCCCUCUUCCUUCUCUCUCCUCUCUCCUCUCUCCUCUCUCCUCCCUCUUCAUCUUCUAUCUCCUUUCUAAGAAUGAGGAAUUGAUUCUCAUUCCCCUCUUCAUCACCGUAGAUUAUAAUCACCAUCACCGUAGAUCUUCAUCGUCACCAAUCUCCUUCAUCAUCAACCUCCUUCAUCACCAUCAACUCCGACUUCAUCAUCGAUCUCCUUCAUCAUCGACGAAAAUUGGUGAUAGAAGAUGUCAAGCAAAUCUUUGAAGUGAGGAGCUCCAACAAAAUCGUGUCCUAUAAUUUUUGUUUUAGAUUAGAUCAAGUAUUAUAAUUAUUUUGACUCUAUUAGAUCUAGAUCUAAGUUGUUGGUACAAGUAUAGUUAAUUUAAUUUUGUAAUAACUCUUGAUGAUGAUAUAUAUAUAAGUUUGGGUUUUAUUUUAAUAAUAUGAAAAA